UGUUUCACUGCAAUGGGUGGUGCUUCCCAUGGGGCAUAGCAGCUCAGGGUGGCACCAACAUCUGCCUCAGAAAUGUCACAGCAGACUCCAUAUUCGAUAACAUUUUCCUGCACAAGGUGACCCACAUGGCCGGUGCACCAACUGUUCUAAACAUGAUUGUGAAUGCUCGGAGUACAGAGAAGAAGCCUCUUCCUGGCAGGGUGGUUGUCAUGACUGGAGCUGCUCCCCCACCCCCUCAAGUUUUGUUCAAUAUGGAG
Molecule: unclassified non-coding RNA, 257 nt
Filed under: Hevea brasiliensis (rubber tree)
Lineage: Eukaryota; Viridiplantae; Streptophyta; Magnoliopsida; Malpighiales; Euphorbiaceae
Source: RNAcentral